This 410-nucleotide ribosomal RNA is filed under the name uncultured microorganism. Its description in RNAcentral is "bacterial SSU rRNA". It matches the Rfam family "Bacterial small subunit ribosomal RNA", at positions 509 to 917 of the family's 1533-position model. The record is from RNAcentral.
CAGCCGCCGCGGUAAUACGUAGGGUGCGAGCGUUAAUCGGAUUUACUGGGCGUAAAGCGUGCGCAGGCGGCCCGUUAAGACAGGUGUGAAAUCCCUGGGCUCAACCUAGGAAUUGCGCUUGUGACUGGCGGGCUCGAGUACGGUAGAGGGGGGUGGAAUUCCUGGUGUAGCAGUGAAAUGCGUAGAGAUCAGGAGGAACACCGAUGGCGAAGGCAGCCCCCUGGGCCUGUACUGACGCUCAUGCACGAAAGCGUGGGGAGCAAACAGGAUUAGAUACCCUGGUAGUCCACGCCCUAAACGAUGGGUACUAGCCGUUUGGUGCGCGAUAGCGCUGAGUGGCGAAGCUAACGCGUGAAGUACCCCGCCUGGGGAGUACGGCCGCAAGGUUGAAACUUAAAGGAAUUGGCGGG